GGGAUUCCAGGGUUCCCAGAAUGGAGCUCUUUAGCAUCCGCUGCUGUCAUCAUGACUCAGCUUGCCAAUCUGGGUACGAAGAAGCCAGAACAAACAGGUCACAACAAGGAGCCAUUGGGAGAAUCAUUAACUAUCAUAUGGAGCAUCUGGCAACAUGCCGGGGACAUAACAGUUGAGAGAUUUGAAACAACACCCUGGAUGAGGGGGAGACACAGUGAAAGCAGGAGAUUCAGCAGCUGAUGGCUGGCAAAGAGGUCG
Molecule: long non-coding RNA, 258 nt
Organism: Globicephala melas (long-finned pilot whale)
Lineage: Eukaryota; Metazoa; Chordata; Mammalia; Artiodactyla; Delphinidae
Source: RefSeq, a predicted model, not a curated record